GAUCCUGGCUCAGGACGAACGCUGGCGGCGUGCUUAACACAUGCAAGUCGAACGAAGAGCGAUGGAAGCUUGCUUCUAUCAAUCUUAGUGGCGAACGGGUGAGUAACGCGUAAUCAACCUGCCCUUCAGAGGGGGACAACAGUUGGAAACGACUGCUAAUACCGCAUACGAUCUAAUCUCGGCAUCGAGGAUAGAUGAAAGGUGGCCUCUACAUGUAAGCUAUCACUGAAGGG
This 233-nucleotide ribosomal RNA is filed under the name uncultured bacterium. RNAcentral's name for it is "partial 16S ribosomal RNA". It matches the Rfam family "Bacterial small subunit ribosomal RNA", at positions 15 to 225 of the family's 1533-position model. The record is from RNAcentral.